UUACCAAACUGUUGCCUCGGCGGGGUCACGCCCCGGGUGCGUCGCAGCCCCGGAACCAGGCGCCCGCCGGAGGAACCAACCAAACUCUUUCUGUAGUCCCCUCGCGGACGUAUUUCUUACAGCUCUGAGCAAAAAUUCAAAAUGAAUCAAAACUUUCAACAACGGAUCUCUUGGUUCUGGCAUCGAUGAAGAACGCAGCGAAAUGCGAUAAGUAAUGUGAAUUGCAGAAUUCAGUGAAUCAUCGAAUCUUUGAACGCACAUUGCGCCCGCCAGUAUUCUGGCGGGCAUGCCUGUCCGAGCGUCAUUUCAACCCUCGAACCCCUCCGGGGGAUCGGCGUUGGGGAUCGGGACCCCUCACACGGGUGCCGGCCCCUAAAUACAGUGGCGGUCUCGCCGCAGCCUCUCCUGCGCAGUAGUUUGCACAACUCGCACCGGGAGCGCGGCGCGUCCACGUCCGUAAAACACCCAACUUUCUGAAAUGUUGACCUCGGAUCAGGUAGGAAUACCCGCUGAACUUAAGCAUAUCAAUAAGCGGAGGAA
RNAcentral lists this ribosomal RNA (540 nucleotides) under Trichoderma asperellum. RNAcentral's name for it is "eukaryotic LSU rRNA". The stretch from base 151 to 304 matches the Rfam family "5.8S ribosomal RNA". The record is from RNAcentral. Lineage: Eukaryota; Fungi; Ascomycota; Sordariomycetes; Hypocreales; Hypocreaceae.